This 1485-nucleotide ribosomal RNA is filed under the name uncultured Bordetella sp. RNAcentral describes it as "partial 16S-23S ribosomal RNA intergenic spacer". It matches the Rfam family "Bacterial small subunit ribosomal RNA". Lineage: Bacteria; Pseudomonadati; Pseudomonadota; Betaproteobacteria; Burkholderiales; Alcaligenaceae. The record is from RNAcentral.
AGGUUUCGAUCAUGGCUCAGAUUGAACGCUGGCGGGAUGCUUUACACAUGCAAGUCGAACGGCAGCACGGACUUCAGUCUGGUGGCGAGUGGCGAACGGGUGAGUAAAUCUUCGUGGUGAUGGCGCGGAAGUAUCGGAACGUGCCCUGUGUGAGGAUAACUACGCGGCGUAGCUAAUACCGCAUACGCCCUUCGAGGAAAGCAGAGGACCUUCGGGCCUCGCACUAUUAGAGCGGCCGAUAUCAGGAUUGUAGUUGGUGGGGUAACGGCUCGCAAGGCGACGAUCGUAGCUGGUUUGAAGGACGACCAGCCCGCUGGGACUGAGACACGGCCCAGACCUACGAGAGCAGCAGUGGGAAUUUUGGACAAUGGGGAAACCCUGAUCCAGCCAUCCCGCGUGUGCGAUGAAGGCCUUCGGGUUGUAAAGCACUUUUGGCAGAAAGAAACGGCACGGGAUAAUACCCCGUGCAACUGAUGGUACCUGCAGAAUAAGCACCGGCUAACUACGUGCCAGCAGCCGCGGUAAUACGUAGGGUGCAAGCGUUAAUCGGAAUUACUGGGCGUAAAGCGUGCACGCACGAGCGGUUCGGAAAGAAAGAUGGCAAAUCCCAGAGCUUAACUUUGGAACUGCAUUUUUAACUACCGAGCUAGAGUGUGUCAGAGGGAGGUGGAAUUCCGUGUAGCAGUGAAAUGCGUAGAUAUGCGGAGAACACCGAUGGCGAAGGCAGCCUCCUGGGAUACUGACGCUCAUGCACAGCGUGGGGAGCAAACAGGAUUAGAUACCCUGGUAGUCCACGCCUAAACGAUGUCAACUAGCUGUUGGGGCCUUCGGGCCUUGGUAGCGCAGCUAACGCGUGAAGUUGACCGCCUGGGGAAGUACGGUCGCAAGAUUAAAACUCAAAGGAAUUGACGGGGACCCGCACAAGCGGUGGAUGAUGUGGAUUAAUUCGAUGCAACGCGAAAAACCUUACCUACCCUUGACAUGUCUGGAAUCCCGAAGAGAUUUGGGAGUGCUCGCAAGAAACCGGAACACAGGUGCUGCAUGGCUGUCGUCAGCUCGUGUCGUGAGAUGUUGGGUUAAGUCCCGCAACGAGCGCAACCCUUGUCAUUAGUUGCUACGAAGGGCACUCUAAUGAGACUGCCGGUGACAAACCGGAGGAAGGUGGGGAUGACGUCAAGUCCUCAUGGCCCAUAUGGGUAGGGCUUCACACGUCAUACAAUGGUCGGGACCAGAGGGUCGCCAACCCGCGAGGAGCCAAUCCCAGAAACCCGAUCGUAGUCCGGAUCGCAGUCUGCAACUCGACUGCGUGAAGUCGGAAUCGCUAGUAAUCGCGGAUCAGCAUGUCGCGGUGAAUACGUUCCCGGGUCUUGUACACACCGCCCGUCACACCAUGGGAGUGGGUUUUACCAGAAGUAGUUAGCCUAACCGUAAGGAGGGCGAUUACCACGGUAAGUUCAUGACUGGGGUGAAGUCGUAACAAGGUAA